AUUGAACGCUGGCGGCAGGCCUAACACAUGCAAGUCGAACGGUAACAGAGAGUAGCUUGCUACUUUGCUGACGAGUGGUGGACGGGUGAGUAAUGUCUGGGGAUCUGCCUGAUGGAGGGGGAUAACUACUGGAAACGGUAGCUAAUACCGCAUAAUGUCGCAAGACCAAAGCGGGGGACUUUCGGGCCUCGCACCAUCAGAUGAACCCAGAUGGGAUUAGCUAGUAGGUAGGGUAAUGGCUUACCUAGGCGACGAUCCCUAGCUGGUCUGAGAGGAUGACCAGCCACACUGGAACUGAGACACGGUCCAGACUCCUACGGGAGGCAGCAGUGGGGAAUAUUGCACAAUGGGCGCAAGCCUGAUGCAGCCAUGCCGCGUGUAUGAAGGAGGCCUUCGGGUUGUAAAGUACUUUCAGUCAGGAGGAAGGGUGUGAAAUUAAUACUUUCAUGCAUUGACGUUACUGACAGAAGAAGCACCGGCUAACUCCGUGCCAGCAGCCGCAGUAA
Molecule: ribosomal RNA, 506 nt
Filed under: uncultured bacterium
Lineage: Bacteria
Description: partial 16S ribosomal RNA
Rfam family: Bacterial small subunit ribosomal RNA
Source: RNAcentral